GAGCUCACUUUGGCAGCACAUACACUAAAACCGUACAGAGAAGAUUAAUGUGGCCCCUGUACAAGGAUGACAUGCAAAUUGGUGAGGUGUUCCAUAUUUUC
Physeter macrocephalus (sperm whale) is the source of this 101-nucleotide small nuclear RNA. The record is from Ensembl. NCBI's taxonomy places the organism in Eukaryota, Metazoa, Chordata, Mammalia, Artiodactyla, Physeteridae.